RNAcentral lists this ribosomal RNA (468 nucleotides) under uncultured bacterium. RNAcentral describes it as "partial 16S ribosomal RNA". It matches the Rfam family "Bacterial small subunit ribosomal RNA", at positions 28 to 507 of the family's 1533-position model. The record is from RNAcentral.
GACGAACGCUGGCGGCGUGCUUAACACAUGCAAGUCGAACGGAAAGGCCCUGCUUUUGUGGGUUGCUCGAGUGGCGAACGGGUGAGUAACACGUGAGUAACCUGCCCUUGACUUUGGGAUAACUUCAGGAAACUGGGGCUAAUACCGGAUAGGAGCUCCUGCUGCAUGGUGGGGGUUGGAAAGUUUCGGCGGUUGGGGAUGGACUCGCGGCUUAUGAGCUUGUUGGUGGGGUAGUGGCUUACCAAGGCUUUGACGGGUAGCCGGCCUGAGAGGGUGAACGGCGACAUUGGGCCUGAGAUACGGACCAGACGCGUACGGGAGGCAGCAGUGGGGAAUAUUGCACAAUGGGCGGAAGCCUGAUGCAGCAACGCCGCGUGCGGGAUGACGGCCUUCGGGUUGUAAACCGAUUUCGACUGUGACGAAGCGUGAGUGACGGUAAUGGGUAAAGAAGCACCGGCUAACUACGUG